Molecule: long non-coding RNA, 215 nt
Filed under: Olea europaea (common olive)
Lineage: Eukaryota; Viridiplantae; Streptophyta; Magnoliopsida; Lamiales; Oleaceae
Description: long non-coding RNA (OEUR_LNC011166)
Source: RNAcentral
GAAAAGUUUCAAGUAUGGAAAAGUAUGCUUGUGAGUAAACCAAUUUAAUUACCUUCCUCCUGAUGAUAAGAGGGGUAUCAUCAUCAUCAUCAACAUCAUCCUCCAGAAUGGGAGAUGCUGAGGCUGGCCGUUUGCGGCUCGGGGCACUUUUGGCUGCAGUAGGCUUGGCAGGGAGAGAAGAAGAUGGACGAGCAGACUGUUUAGCGCGACGAGGA